UACGUAGGGGGCAAGCGUUGCCCGGAAUUAUUGGGCGUAAAGAGCUCGUAGGCGGUCUGUCGAGUCGAAUGUGAAAACCCGGGGCUCAACCCCGGGCCUGCAUUCGAUACGGGCAGACUAGAGUGAUGUAGGGGAGACUGGAAUUCCUGGUGUAGCGGUGAAAUGCGCAGAUAUCAGGAGGAACACCGAUGGCGAAGGCAGGUCUCUGGGCAUUAACUGACGCUGAGGAGCGAAAGCAUGGGGAGCGAACAGG
RNAcentral lists this ribosomal RNA (253 nucleotides) under uncultured bacterium. RNAcentral describes it as "partial 16S ribosomal RNA". It matches the Rfam family "Bacterial small subunit ribosomal RNA", at positions 524 to 776 of the family's 1533-position model. The record is from RNAcentral.